Small nucleolar RNA from Neoarius graeffei (lesser salmon catfish), 187 nucleotides. RefSeq annotates it as small nucleolar RNA SNORA81. The record is from RefSeq and is a predicted model, not a curated record. Lineage: Eukaryota; Metazoa; Chordata; Actinopteri; Siluriformes; Ariidae. The transcript has a single exon.
CCCUUCUUUACCAAAAGCGCCGUGCCAAAAUCAGCAGGUCUGAGCUUUUUAGUUUAGUCACGCUGGUCAUGCUGGUAUGGUACAUCUCAGAGAAGGAGAGCAAAAGCCGCAGUGUUAGGAACAAGACCAGGAAGGACCGCUUUCUUAAUGUCCCAUGUCCUGUGUCUCCUGGUUCUGCGCUACACUU